This 1325-nucleotide ribosomal RNA is filed under the name uncultured bacterium. Its description in RNAcentral is "bacterial SSU rRNA". It matches the Rfam family "Bacterial small subunit ribosomal RNA", at positions 29 to 1382 of the family's 1533-position model. The record is from RNAcentral.
ACGAACGCUGGCGGCAGGCCUAAAACAUGCAAGUCGAACGAUGUAGCAAUACAUAGUGGCGCACGGGUGAGUAACGCGUGGGAACGUACCUCUAGGUGAGGAACAACGUCGGGGAAACUGACGCUAAUACCUCAUAAUAUCUCCGGAUCAAAGAUUUAUCGCCUAGAGAUCGGCCCGCGUUAGAUUAGCUAGUUGGUGGGGUAAAAGCUUACCAAGGCGACGAUCUAUAGCUGGUCUGGAGAGGAUGAUCAGCCACACUGGGACUGAGAACGGCCCAGACUCCUACGGGAGGCAGCAGUUAGGAAUAUUGGACAAUGGGGGCAACCCUGAUCCAGCCAUGCCGGGUGUGUGACGGAGGCCUUAGGGUUGUAAAGCACUUUCGUCUGCGAAGAUAAUGACAGUAACAGAAGAAGAAGCUCCGGCUAAAAUUCGUGCCAGCAGGGGCGGGAAUACGAAUGGGAGGGAGCGUUGUUCGGAAUCACUGGGGGUAAAGCGUGCGCAGGCGGUGGGGAAGUCAGGGUGAAAUCCCCAGGGGUUAAACCCUGCAAUUGCUUUUUGAUACUUCACGACUAGAAGUACCGGGAGGGGGUGGGGGGAAUUUCGAGUUGUAGCAGUGAAAUGCGUAGAUAUUCGAAGAAACACCCGACGGCGUAAGCAGCCAACCUGGACCAGUAACUGACGGUUAAUGCACGAAAAGCGUGGGGGAUCAAAACAGGAUUAGAUUCCCCUGGUAGUCCCCGCCGUAACCGAUGUUUGCUAGUUGUCCGGGUUCUUAGAACUCGGUGCCGCAGCUAACGCUUUAAGCACACCGCCUGGGGGAGGUACGGUCGCAAGAUUAAAACUCAAAGGAAUUGACGGGGACCCGCACAACCGGUGGAGCAUGUUCUUUAAUUCGAAGCAACGCGAAGAACCUUACCCACACUUGACAUCCUCCUUGGGACUUUCAGAGAUGAUUGUCUUCGGUUCGGCCGGGGGAGAGACAGGUGCUGCAUGGCUGUCGUCAGCUCGUGUCGUGAGAUGUUGGGUUAAGUCCCGCAACGAGCGCAACCCUUAUCGUAUGUUGCUACCAUUCAGUUGGGCACUCAUGCGAGACUGCCGGUGAUAAGCCGGAGGAAGGCGGGGACGACGUCAAGUCAUCAUGGCCCUUACGUGUGGGGCUAGAAACGUGCUACAAUGGUGGUGACAGUGGGCAGCGAGGUCGUGAGGCCAAGCUAAUCCCAAAAAGCCAUCUCAGUUCAGAUUGCAGUCUGCAACUCGACUGCAUGAAGUUGGAAUCGCUAGUAAUCGCAAAUCAGCAUGUUGCGGUGAAUACGUUCCCGGGUCUG